CACGGAUGUGAGACAUGGAAUCAAGGGAGACCGUUAUGGAACUUUGAGAUACAAUAACUGCCCUGCUGGGUUUCAGGCUUGCAUGGGGCCUGUAGCCACUUUCUUUUGCUGUCUUAUUGACAUAUAGGGCUUCCCUAUAUAUUCUGGAUAUGAAUCCAUAUGAAUCUCCAUAUUCUUAAGUGAAUAUCUUCUCUUACUUGGUAUGGAAGACAGGACGAAGCAGGGAAGAGGAUCCCACAGCAUCAAGUAAGGAAGGGACAGGGUAAACCAUGUUGCUCAAAAGGAGACCCUGGAGUCCCCAAGCUGCCAUACAGCUCACCCAGCAGUGAAGACACUGAAGAAAAAUGUUAAGGUGGCCACUUCUUUGCCACUGCGAGAAGCUGUCUGUCUCGUCAAGGGUCCAAGACCCCUUUAAACUUACUUGAGCAAGGUAGCUCUUUGGGGCCAAUGUAAGAAGGUUAACUGUAGUAUUAAUGGGGAGUCUUUUUCUCUCUAUCACAGGGAACAGUUAGGACAGUCUCAUUGUCGAUGGUCCUUUUGUUUACAGUAGGCACACUGAUUCUGGCCCAGUGGUUACCAAGUCAGGGG
RNAcentral lists this long non-coding RNA (588 nucleotides) under Papio anubis (olive baboon). RNAcentral's name for it is "lncRNA (ENSPANG00000050412.1)". The record is from RNAcentral. Lineage: Eukaryota; Metazoa; Chordata; Mammalia; Primates; Cercopithecidae.